Denticeps clupeoides (denticle herring) is the source of this 3951-nucleotide long non-coding RNA. The record is from Ensembl. NCBI's taxonomy places the organism in Eukaryota, Metazoa, Chordata, Actinopteri, Clupeiformes, Denticipitidae.
UUUAUAAGCUCACAGUCACCUGUAAAACACCUAGGACUCAAAGAUAAACUCACGGCCGUGGUGGAACCAGCACAGGAGACUCCCCCACCAGUCGCUGCGCAUGAAGCACCAGUGGUUGAACCUGAACCUGUGGAAGAAGUGAUUCAAGCAACAAAAGCAGAGCAGGAUGCUGCUGCUCCUCAAUCUGAGCCUGAUGUUGAGGAGGAAUCUGAGCCUGAAGCUGUUGAUGAAGAGGCUGAACCCAAGGAGGUUGAAGAGUCUGACCCUGAUGUAGAAGAUGUUGAAGCCAUUGAACCUGAAGAUGAAGAAGUUGAGGAGGAGCCUGAGCCUGAAAUUAUUGAACCAGCGUUUGAGGAGGAACAUGAAACUCAAUCAGAAAAUGAGUCUGUUAAUGAUGCUGUGGAAGAAACACAUGAGGAACUUAAUAAAGAGGACCCAGCAGUUUUAGAGGCUUUUGAGGAGGAAGCUGAGCCUGCGGAGGAGGAGGCUGCUCCUGUAGAAGAGGCUGUUGAGGAGGUCGUUGAGGAUGCUGCUCCUGUGGAGGAGGCCGUUGAGGAAGAGGCGGCUGCUCCUGUAGAAGAGGCCGUUGAGGAGGAGGAAGAGGCGGCUGCUCCUGUGGAAGAGGCCGUUGAGGAGGAGGAAGAGGAGGCUGCUCCUGUGGAAGAGGCCGCUGAGGAGGAGGAAGAGGAGGCUGCUCCUGUGGAAGAGGCCGUUGAGGAGGAGGAAGAGGAGGCUGCUCCUGUUGAAGAAGCCAUUGAGGAGGAGGAGGAAGAGGAGGCUGCUCCUGUUGAAGAAGCCAUUGAGGAGGAGGAGGAAGAGGAGGCUGCUCCUGUUGAAGAAGCCAUUGAGGAGGAAGAGGAGGCUGCUCCUGUUGAAGAGGCCGUUGAGGAGGAGGAGGAAGAGGAGGCUGCUCCUGUGGAGGAAGCCACUGAAGAAGACCUGUUCACAAAUGACACUCCCCCACUUGAGAGAGGUGAAGCAGCAGAUGAGGAGCAAACAGCAGUUAAAGAGGCUCUUGAGGAACCAUCUGAGGUGGAGUCUGUGCACACUGACUAUGCUGAAAGUGAAGAGCCAUUAGUAGAGGAUGCAGAAGAAGAUGAGCAAGAAGCAGCAGUCUUAACAGAAGAGAUUGAGCCUGAGGAACAUUUCCAAGAUGAGCCUACAGAAACGUAAAAUUUGAUGUCCGUUCAGAAGCCACGAGGCUAGAAUGAUUUCCUCUGAGCGACUGCAUUUCCCACCCAGGAGUGUACAGAGGAGGAAGAAACUGUUGUUCUGUCUUUUCUUUUGUGUGUGUGUCAUGUUAUCUAAAUGAGUGGCUCACAACUCUGUUCUGUCAGUCCUUAAACUGGUUCCCAGCAGAUCGCUGCUCCACAGAUGUUCAUCAUGCGGCCCCGAAUGUUAAGAGCUAGAGCGGAACGAGCACAUGGACUGGUUUGGGUUCCUCAGGGCUGGGUUCUGGACCACUUGUACAGAUACUUGUGGGUGGGAGAUGGGGGGUUGGUCUUGGUUUUUUAUGUAGUAACGUGGUUCCUUUUGGUUUUUAUUUCCUGUGUUCCGUUUCUGUUCUCAGACAUUUCUGUGCUGGAAAGGCUCACAAUUUUCAACUCUUUAGAACAUGUGAAGUAUCAAUGUUGAUCUGUGGUGGGGAACGAAUUUUGCUUGUUAGUAUGUACAUGAUGGUACUAUGCAAAGCUGCACUGAUCUUCAGCAGUGACCUGAGGUGCUGUACAGCGUAUCACGUUCAUGCAGGCAGGCAGGUUUCAUUACAUUUUAUUUCCAGCCUGUGUACAUUUUACAUACAAGAGUGUCAUCAUGGAACAACCGAAUAUUCCUUUCCAGCCGCAAUUUAAUUUUAUUCUGAUUGCUGCCUGCUAGUUUCUCCUUCAAGCAUCUUCAGUACUGUAGGGUUUGUAUUACAGUAGAUCAGCAAGAGUAAGGAAUUCAGUUGUAAUGUCUUAUUGUUGAAAGGGAUAUGUUGCUUCGUCUCAGGGUUAUCCAAACCCAUGCUUUGUGUGCGUCAUUGUUGGGUUUUGCUUCUCAGUAAUUUUUUUUUCUUUGUUAAAUUCUUUAUUAUGCCACUAUUCUGAUAAAUGAUGGUUGAGCCUCUUCCUCCUGUACCUCAUAGAUCAUGAGGCUCAAAAGUCUGUGUGUGUGUGUGUGUGAGUGUGAGAUGACCAGUACUUUUCUUUUUCCAAAGGGAAAUUUUAUGUGCCCGCAUCAGUGAAGGGGAGGGGUCUAAAUUUUGGUUGUCCCUUGAAGUUCAUACAACUAGAUGGAAAAAAAUGUGUGAACAUUUUUUUUUUUUUUUUUUUUAUAUAUAUAUAUAAAAAUUUGCUUCUUAACGUGAAGCAUGUCACAUUUACUCUUAUGUGCGUGGUACAUGUGCACCCCUAGAACUAAAGUGUGAAUUUAUUUUACCACAGUUACAUCUUAAAGGACAUUUGCUGUUCUAUUGGUCAAAUUUGCUUUUAUUUGUACCCUUGUCUGUGUAAAGCAAAUGUGGGCUGUGGGCCUGCCUUUUUUUAUUAGUUCUGACUGUUUGAACACCCUUAUCCACUACUUUAUAGCAUUCAAAUGCAUGUGUUCAUUUACCUACCCCUUUUUCCCAUAGUGUUGUGCAGAAGCCUACUAAAAUAAUGCCAUUGUGAUCAAUUUUAGGAAAUGCUGUAAUUCUUUCAGAGGUCUGUGGUGUUCAGCAAGCUGUUUCAUUUUUAUGAAUUUUUUUCCCUUUCUUUCUUUCUUUCUUUCUUUCUUUCUUUCUAUAACACUUAGAUUUUUUUUCUGCUUAAAUUUUUUGAAGUCAAUGUGAAUUUUUAACAUGGUAUUACAUUUACAAAAUUCUAACUUUAAGAGGUUUAACUUUUUUUAGACCUUUUUUAGAAAGUGGUUUCCAUUUUCUUAAGCCAUAGGUAAGACGUGAGUGUUUACGGUGCACCAUAUUUCAAGAGAGAGACAUUGCACACCUGAAAAUAGACUUUUCAUUGCAGUUCACAUUUGAACAGGAUUUUUACACCAUUAGCUCCCGCCUUACAAGAGGUUUACAGACUCUACAUUGUACCGGACAAUAAGUUAUUAUGAAAUAACAUCAACAACACUAUUGUAAAUGUUCUGCUGAAGUGCUGUAAUAAAGGUUUGGGAAUAUAAUGUUUUGUCUCAUUAUUUUUGGUGAAUAUUUCAUAUUUUUAGUUGUUAAUGUAAACCUAUGGUCUAUACAUACUCAGUUUAGUUGCGCUAAACUGUUGGUAGCUAGGUUUGUGUUUUAAUAAUUCACUUGCUAUUUAUGCUGUUUAUUUUAUUGAAGAGAAGACUAAAUACGGUCAGUAGACUAAGCAUGAAAUUUAAUAAACAAGAUUGCAAACAUAUAACAUCUAAAAAGGAUGUUCAGCAGGCAGUAUAUCAGUGUGCCCCCAUAUGAUUUAAACAAGGAAAAUCCGAAAUGAAAAUUCUUUAUUAUACUUGGUACUUAAGUCCAUAAUGUUGUAAUUUACGUCUCAUGUUUAUUUUCAAAUAUGCGUAUACAUAAAAGUAACUUCUGCACUAACAACUUUUUGGGGGUGGACAUUGGGUUCAUUGUGUAACGGUGGCCAAUUAUUUAUUUAUUCAUGCAUUCAUUCGUUCAGCACCAUAACCUCAGGUCUUUUCUUCAGUCUUUAUCAUUCAAUGUAAUUAGUCCUUUUUUUGGUAUUACAGUCCUUGUGAUGCUAUCUGACCACCAGAACAGCCUCAUUCUGAACCUCAGCAGACGUCAGAAUGUGCAUGUAGGCCUUUGCCUGGAGAGAAAAAAUUUCCAUAUGUUUGUUCAUUAACAGCGCCAUGCCUCUGGUGGUGGUUCUUUUUCUUAAAGAUGAUCAUUUAUUGCCUCUGUGAUAUUUUCUUUUUCCAUUAAGGUGAUUUGCUCACUUUACUUCCCUGCAGCUAAAUAAACAACUGAAUGAAGGUUUUGUACUGGUG